This is a non-coding RNA of Pelobates cultripes (western spadefoot toad), 167 nucleotides long. The record is from the annotation of a GenBank genome assembly. NCBI's taxonomy places the organism in Eukaryota, Metazoa, Chordata, Amphibia, Anura, Pelobatidae.
GGUCAGCUGACACAUCCCUGCCAAUCUCCGGCAGACCCUCCCUCCCAGACCCUCCUACUUCCUGGACAGCAUCCAUUUUGAAGGCAGCUUCAACAUGGAUGCUGUCCAGGAGGUGGGAGGGUCUGGGAGGGAGGGUCUGCCGGAGAUUGGCAGGGAUGUGUCAGCUG